UUAGAGUUUGAUUUUGGCUCAGGAUGAACGCUAGCGGCAGGCUUAACACAUGCAAGUCGAGGGGCAGCGAGAUCAGUGCUUGCACUGAUUGUCGGCGACCGGCGCACGGGUGCGUAACGCGUAUGCAACCUACCCAUUACAGGGGGAUAACACUGAGAAAUCGGUACUAAUACCCCAUAACAUCCAGGGAGGCAUCUUCUUGGGUUGAAAACUCCGGUGGUAAUGGAUGGGCAUGCGUUGUAUUAGUUAGUUGGUGGGGUAACGGCUCACCAAGACAACGAUACAUAGGGGGACUGAGAGGUUAACCCCCCACAUUGGUACUGAGACACGGACCAAACUCCUACGGGAGGCAGCAGUGAGGAAUAUUGGUCAAUGGACGCAAGUCUGAACCAGCCAUGCCGCGUGCAGGAAGACGGCUCUAUGAGUUGUAAACUGCUUUUGUACGAGGGUAAACGCAGAUACGCGUAUCUGUCUGAAAGUAUCGUACGAAUAAGGAUCGGCUAACUCCGUGCCAGCAGCCGCGGUAAUACGGAGGAUUCAAGCGUUAUCCGGAUUUAUUGGGUUUAAAGGGUGCGUAGGCGGUCGGAUAAGUUAGAGGUGAAAUCCCGGGGCUCAACUUCGGAAUUGCCUCUGAUACUGUUCGGCUAGAGAGUAGUUGCGGUAGGCGGAAUGUAUGGUGUAGCGGUGAAAUGCUUAGAGAUCAUACAGAACACCGAUUGCGAAGGCAGCUUACCAAGCUACUUCUGACGUUGAGGCACGAAAGCGUGGGGAGCAAACAGGAUUAGAUACCCUGGUAGUCCACGCAGUAAACGAUGAUAACUCGUUGUCGGCGAUACAGUGUCGGUGACUAAGCGAAAGCGAUAAGUUAUCCACCUGGGGAGUACGUUCGCAAGAAUGAAACUCAAAGGAAUUGACGGGGGCCCGCACAAGCGGAGGAACAUGUGGUUUAAUUCGAUGAUACGCGAGGAACCUUACCCGGGCUUGAAAGUUAGUGACGGAUCUUGAAAGAGGUCUUCCCUUCGGGGCACGAAACUAGGUGCUGCAUGGUUGUCGUCAGCUCGUGCCGUGAGGUGUCGGGUUAAGUCCCAUAACGAGCGCAACCCCUACCGUUAGUUGCCAGCAGGUCAAGCUGGGCACUCUGACGGGACUGCCGGUGUAAGCCGAGAGGAAGGUGGGGAUGACGUCAAAUCAGCACGGCCCUUACGUCCGGGGCUACACACGUGUUACAAUGGCAGGUACAGAGGGCAGCUACCCAGCGAUGGGAUGCGAAUCUCGAAAGCCUGUCUCAGUUCGGAUUGGAGGCUGAAACCCGCCUCCAUGAAGUUGGAUUCGCUAGUAAUCGCGCAUCAGCCAUGGCGCGGUGAAAAGGUUCCCGGGCCUUGUAC
This 1385-nucleotide ribosomal RNA is filed under the name uncultured bacterium. RNAcentral describes it as "bacterial SSU rRNA". It matches the Rfam family "Bacterial small subunit ribosomal RNA". The record is from RNAcentral.